UACGUAGGUGGCAAGCGUUGUCCGGAAUUACUGGGCGUAAAGGGCGUGUAGGCGGCCAUUUAAGUCAGGCGUGAAAACUCUGAGCUCAACUUGGAGAUUGCGUUUGAAACUGGGUGGCUAGAGGAUCGGAGAGGGCAGUGGAAUUCCCAGUGUAGCGGUGAAAUGCGUAGAUAUUGGGAAGAACACCAGUGGCGAAGGCGGCUGCCUGGACGACACCUGACGCUGAGGCGCGAAAGCUAGGGGAGCAAACGGG
This 253-nucleotide ribosomal RNA is filed under the name uncultured bacterium. RNAcentral's name for it is "partial 16S ribosomal RNA". It matches the Rfam family "Bacterial small subunit ribosomal RNA", at positions 524 to 776 of the family's 1533-position model. The record is from RNAcentral.